RNAcentral lists this transfer RNA (70 nucleotides) under Marmota monax (woodchuck). RNAcentral describes it as "tRNA.Ala". The record is from RNAcentral. Lineage: Eukaryota; Metazoa; Chordata; Mammalia; Rodentia; Sciuridae.
GGAUUGUGGCUCAGCGGUAGAGCACUUGCCUAGCACACACAGGGGGCCCUGGGUUCAAUAAUCAGCACCA